RNAcentral lists this ribosomal RNA (75 nucleotides) under Corynebacterium striatum. Its description in RNAcentral is "partial 16S ribosomal RNA". It matches the Rfam family "Bacterial small subunit ribosomal RNA", at positions 1 to 72 of the family's 1533-position model. Lineage: Bacteria; Bacillati; Actinomycetota; Actinomycetes; Mycobacteriales; Corynebacteriaceae. The record is from RNAcentral.
UUUUUUGUGGAGAGUUUGAUCCUGGCUCAGGACGAACGCUGGCGGCGUGCUUAACACAUGCAAGUCGAACGGAAA